RNAcentral lists this ribosomal RNA (885 nucleotides) under Agaricus gregariomyces. Its description in RNAcentral is "eukaryotic LSU rRNA". It matches the Rfam family "Eukaryotic large subunit ribosomal RNA", at positions 64 to 937 of the family's 3401-position model. The record is from RNAcentral. Lineage: Eukaryota; Fungi; Basidiomycota; Agaricomycetes; Agaricales; Agaricaceae.
ACUAACAGGAUUCCCCUAGUAACUGCGAGUGAAGCGGGAAAAGCUCAAAUUUAAAAUCUGGCGGUCUUUGGCCGUCCGAGUUGUAAUCUAGAGAAGUAAUGCCCGUGCUGGACCGUGUAUAAGUCUCCUGGGAUGGGGCGUCAUAGAGGGUGAGAAUCCCGUCUUUGACACGGACUACCAGUGCAUUGUGGUAUGCUCUCAAAGAGUCGAGUUGUUUGGGAAUGCAGCUCAAAAUGGGUGGUAAAUUCCAUCUAAAGCUAAAUAUUGGCGAGAGACCGAUAGCGAACAAGUACCGUGAGGGAAAGAUGAAAAGAACUUUGGAAAGAGAGUUAAACAGUACGUGAAAUUGCUGAAAGGGAAACGCUUGAAGUCAGUCGCGUUGGCCAGGGAUCAGCCUUGCUUUUGCAUGGUGUACUUUCUGGUUGAUGGGUCAGCAUCAAUUUUGACCGCUGGAAAAGGGCCUGGGGAAUGUGGCAGCUUCGGCUGUGUUAUAGCCCCUGGUCGCAUACGGUGGUUGGGAUUGAGGAACUCAGCACGCCGCAAGGCCGGGUUUCGACCACGUUCGUGCUUAGGAUGCUGGCAUAAUGGCUUUAAGCGACCCGUCUUGAAACACGGACCAAGGAGUCUAACAUGCCUGCGAGUAUUUGGGUGAAAAACCCGAGUGCGUAAUGAAAGUGAAAGUUGAGAUCCCUGUCGUGGGGAGCAUCGACGCCCGGACCAGAACUUUUGGGACGGAUCCGCGGUGGAGCAUGUAUGUUGGGACCCGAAAGAUGGUGAACUAUGCCUGAAUAGGGUGAAGCCAGAGGAAACUCUGGUGGAGGCUCGUAGCGAUUCUGACGUGCAAAUCGAUCGUCAAAUUUGGGUAUAGGGGCGAAAGACUAAUCG